CCAUAGUGAGAAAGGAUUCAUUUCGCAACACCUACGGCUUCCACUAGAUGUCAACGAUCUUUAUAAAGUUGUUUGAAGCGUCUAUGAUAAACAGAGAGCAAAUUAGAAUCCAAGGAAGUUGACAUGUCAUCACUUCAUUUUUUUUGCGCCUGCGCAUAAAUCUGAGAAACGUGAGUUUUGUCUUCAUUGUUUAUCUAGACAUAAGGAUAGGUUGUGUGAAAAUAUUACUGAUGUUUAACGUUAAAAAUGGACCAAAAGAUUAAUGCUAAACAACAUUUGACAUGUUUGAACGAACAUAAAUAGAUUAUUUACUAGGUUUUUUUAGCUUUUCGGCGUGAUUUUACAGUCCCCCCACCACGUUUUGUGGGAGCAUAAUGAACGCUAAGUACUUGGUGUUAUUUGGACAUAAAUUAUGAACUUUGUCAAAAGAAACCACAUUUGUUCCGGACCUGGGAUGCCUUCCGGACCUGGGAUGCCUGCCUUCUGAUGGAGAUAAUCAAAGCAUUUCAGAGAAGAAAAAAAUCUGAAUUUCACGCUACUGUAAAAUGCUGUUUUUGGAUAUAAAUAUGAACUUGAUGGAACAAAAAAUGCAUGUAUUGUAUAACAUAAUGUCCUAGGAGUGUCAUCUGAUGGAGAUUGACAAA
RNAcentral lists this long non-coding RNA (644 nucleotides) under Salmo salar (Atlantic salmon). RNAcentral describes it as "lncRNA (ENSSSAG00000113501.1)". Lineage: Eukaryota; Metazoa; Chordata; Actinopteri; Salmoniformes; Salmonidae. The record is from RNAcentral.